This 39-nucleotide small RNA is filed under the name Propionibacterium australiense. RNAcentral's name for it is "CRISPR_Spacer". Lineage: Bacteria; Bacillati; Actinomycetota; Actinomycetes; Propionibacteriales; Propionibacteriaceae. The record is from RNAcentral.
UCUGCCGAGUUCGCCGGCGCGACGAGCCUUCCGGUGUCC